Molecule: RNA transcript, 3936 nt
Organism: Glycine soja
Lineage: Eukaryota; Viridiplantae; Streptophyta; Magnoliopsida; Fabales; Fabaceae
Gene name: protein RNA-directed DNA methylation 3-like
Exons: 13
Source: RefSeq, a predicted model, not a curated record
AUGAAUCUUUGCCAUUGCAGUAAGAAGGACUUUGGUGUAAUAGUAGGCAUGGAUAAAGAUGAUAUCUACAAGAUUCUAAAAGAGGGUUCAGAUGGACCUGAUGCUGUAACUGUUGAUCGACAUGAAAUUAAGAGUGGGCUAUUUGAUUUGAAACUUACUGCCCUAGAUCUGCACAGUAAGACUAUAUUGGUUAAUGAUACUGUCAGGGUGCUUGAGGGUCCAACUAAGGGUAAACAAGGCAUUGUUAAGCACAUUUAUAGAGGGAUUGUCUUUUUAUAUGAUGGAAAUGAGGAAGAAAAUGGACUUAACUUGUAAAUCUAAUAUGUGUGAGAAGGUCAAGCUUGUUGUUGGUGAUUGCAGUGGAAAGGAUAGUGAACCGGGUCCUUUAGUCUUUGAAGACCAACCAUCAUCACCAAGAUCUCCCUUGUCACCAAAAAAACCAUGGCAAGCAAGAGAAAAUAACCGUGAAUUUAACUGUGGGGACAACAACAACAUGUUUACUAUUGGUCAGACGUUGAGAAUUAGGAUAGGUCCUUUGAAGGGAUACAUUUGCCGAGUCAUUGCCUUGCGUCGUGCUGAUGUUACUGUGAAACUAGAUUCUCAGCAGAAGGUUCUUACAGUUAAAUGUGAGCAUCUUUCUGAGGUUCAGGGGAAGAGUACUGCCAUUUCAUCAAGUGGUGAUCCAGAUUCAAGUUCAUCUAAGCCAUUUGAUAUGCUGGGUACUGAAGGCAGCUCUGGAGGUUGGCUAAAUGGAGUGGGAACGUCCACUGGGGCUGGUGGAUGGAAUGCUGGAGGGGCAUCAUCCACUGGGGGUAGUGGAUGGAAUGUUGGAGGGGCAUCAUCAACUGGGGGUGGUGGAUGGAAUGCUGGAGGGGCGUCAUCCACUGGGGGUGGUGGAUGGAAUGCUGGAGGGGCGUCAUCUAAAAGGGAUGCAGGGUCUAAUCAUUCUGCUCCAAGCUUAUUGAAUACAGAAUCUACCUCAAAUCCAUUCAGUUCCAAGGGUGCAGAAGAUUCUGCUUGGGAAACUAAAAGUAAUUCUAAUAAGACCUCCUCAUGGGGUGCUGCAGUGGAUAAGACUGGAAUUGCUUCUAAUGCAGAUCAGUCUGGUGGCUGGGGAAGUGGUGGAGGGAGCUGGGGUCAGGCAGAGCAUAAAACUGGAAGUGUGGGUGAUGGCAAUCAGAAUAGCAAUUGGAAUACAACCAAGGCUUCUGAAGGGGAGUCUUCUGGUUGGAACAGUAUCCAAAAGUCAAAUGAAACUUCAUCAGUUGGAUGGGGUGGUGGCAAUGGGUUUAAAAGUGGAUCAGAUGAAGGAAACUUGAAUUCUACUUGGAGUGGCUGGAAGUCUGGAUCAAGUGGAGUCAAACAAGCUGGGAACCCUGCUGGUACUUCAGAUAUUGAUGCUAAUCAGGAUGCUGGGUGGAAAAACAAACCAAAUAAGGAUGGGAGUGAGUCAUCUGGUUGGGAAACAAAAAACAAUUGGAAUGCUCCAGUCUCUUCAUCAAAUGAUAAAGUGGAAAAAGGUAAUGAUCAAGGUGGGUGGAAUGCAGGAAAAGCUUCAGGUGGUUCGGCUGCAGAUUUCAGUCAAGCUUCUAGUUGGAAAGGGGGGCUGAGUGAGCACACCCAAGAAGGUUCUAAUUGGGGCGACAAGAAAUUUGGUUCAUGCGAUGUAUGUGGUGAUUCCAGUGGAAAUCAGGGUAGUAAUGGUUGGGGUCAGAAAAGCAAUUGGAACUCUGGAUCUAGGAGUGGGAAUGAGACCCAAAAUUCUCACUGGAGUUCUGGGCGUAAUGAGCCUGGAAAUCAAGAUUCCAACUUGGACAAGAAAAGCAAUUGGAACUCUAGAAACAGUGGAAACCUGGCUUCCGAUCCAAAAAGUAGCAAUUGGAAUUCUGGAUAUGAAAAUUCCAACUGGGGAACCAAUGUCAAUAACAAAUCUUCAUGGGGUACUGGAAAUGAAAACAAGAAUUCCAGCUGGAGUUCUGGGCAUAGUGAUCCUGGAAAUCAAGAUGCCAAUCAGGGCAAGAAAAGCAAUGGGAACUCUGGGAACAGUGGUAACCAACCUUCUGAUCCUAAUAGCAAUUGGAACUCUAACAAAUCCUCUUGGAGUGCUGGGAAUGAAAAUAAGAAAUCUAAUUGGAGUUCUGGGGAUCCUGGAAAUAAAGAUUCUAACUGGGGCAACAAAAAUAAUUGCAUUUCUGGAUCUGGUGAUGCUAAUCAAAACACCACUUGGAGAAGCAAUAGCAGCUGGAACACCGCAAAUGCCUCAAGCGAUGAUGGCAAUGAAGGUUCAAAUGAAAAUUCUGAUGGAGUAGGUGGUGGGAACUGGAGAGGUGGUUACCGGGGUAGAGGUGGCUCCGACAGAGGGGGUUUUAGAGGUAGAGGUUUUCGGGGUAGAGGAGAGCGUGACGGUUUCAGUGGACGAGGGGAGCUUGGAGGCUUUGGUGGCCGAGGGGAACAAGGAGGCUUUGGUGGUAGAGGUAGAUCAGACGGGGAAGGUUUUGGUGGUAGGUGGGGAUCAGAAGGAGGACGUGGAGGCCGAGGCAGGGGAAGGAACGAUCAAUCUGGUGGUUGGAACAACAGAAGGGAUUCUGGUGAGGAUGGGCCCUCUGACUGGAAGAAGGGGGCAGAUAAUGGUGGAUGGAAGAAUAGUAAUGGAUCUCAGGCUUGGAACCAAGAUACUGGUGACAAGGAUAGGCAGAGCUGGAGCCAGGGAAAUGCAGAUAAGGAGCAUCCUAGCUGGAACCAAGGAAGUGGAAGAAAUCAGAGCUGGAGUUCAGCAAGUGGAGCUAAUGAUAAUGGAUCUCAGGCUUGGAACCAGGGAAAUGCAGAUAAGGAGCAUCCAAGCUGAAACCAAGUUGGAAAUAAGCAGAGCUGGAGUUCAGCAAGUGGUGGAGGUAACAAUAAUUGGAACAACAAUGGGUCAUCGCAGACUGCAGAGGCUAGCUGGAAAAAAUCUACAACUGAAGGGACCAAUAUCCAGGGUGGUGGGUGGAACAAGGGAUCUAGUUCAAACACUACUUCUAAGGAUGAGACCAUUCAGACACUUGGUUGCCAGUGCUUAUCAAAGUUCAUCUACUGUCAGGUGGAUGCUACUUAUACUCAUAACAUUGAAAAGUUGGUGCCGAAAGUGUGCAUGCUAUCACGGGAACAUGGUGAAGCAUGUGAAAAGCGCUGCUUGAGUGCAUCAAGCUUGCAAUGCCUUUCAGCAAUGGUUUGGUUUAUGGCCGAAUUUUCACAUAUUUUUGUAGAUUUUGAUGAGGUAUGUUAUAAAAUUAAAGAUGCUCCCAUUGAAAUCAUUGUAGCCUUUUAUUGAAGCUUCCUUACAUAUGCAAUUGUAAAUGGUUCCCCAACUUUGAGUCAUUAUUGUUGGACUAGGCAUAUCUCUGAUAAUACUGAGGUGAAAAUAUAACGAAAUAAUUUUUUAGAUGGAGCAGUGAAAGUUUGGUUAGAAGUCCAAGAGGGCAAGUUUGCUUUAGAUAAAGGUUGGGUUAUUGACACGAUAAAUGUGUUGGGAUUAAACCGAAAUGGAGCACUACCUAAAAUUGAGAUAGAUGGAGAACCACCAAUGAGUAUCUCAAAUGCGCAAGUUAGCACAACUGAACAUAAAUACUUGUAUUGGUAGGGAGAUGGAGAGAAAAUAUUGAUGGUAGGGUUGAAGGGUUUGAAUAUCCCUGUAGGUAAAAGUUUUGCUGUGACCUGGAAGAUGGGAUCAUAACUUUGAGAUUGUUUCAUCUUAAUUGAAACUUUGUAACCUUCUUUUAUGUUUUCUAUAAAUCCCAUUAGUGUCGUGGAAGGAGAGAUGAGCUAGAAUUAAGCUCUUCCUUUUCCAUACUAACGGAGGCUUUUAGAUUAAGCUGCCUCUCAAUGUUAUGUUGAAUCUUUGAAAUGCUUGAAUUCAAAUUUCGUUCUGCCUUUGGUGCAUAGUGCACCCUGAUUAAA